AUAAAGAUAAGCUAAAUUAAGCUUUAAGGUUCAUACCCUUACUAUAGAUUUUUUCUUCUUUAUA
Molecule: transfer RNA, 64 nt
Filed under: Ceraphron sp. MM-2014
Lineage: Eukaryota; Metazoa; Arthropoda; Insecta; Hymenoptera; Ceraphronidae
Description: tRNA-Met
Source: RNAcentral